GAAAGUCUAGAUCCAUCCUCUUUGGAACCCCCUUUCAGGUAGUUGAAAGCAGCUCUCAAAUCCCGCCUCAAUUUUUCUCUUUUCUUCAAUCCUGUAUUAUAAUGCAAUCCCACCAGUCAGUGCUUCUUUUUUGGGUCCAGAAGCAGUGCUCCACGAUUUGCAGCUGCUCCGUGAAUGCCAACAAGAACCUUGAAUUGGUCCUCUGUGUCCCACAGCAAUCUGUCAUCCAAGGAAUCAUCCUGUUCCCCGCAUCUCUUCUUGUGGUUCUGCAGUUACUGCAGGAACGUGCACCCUGUGCUUGCAAUACUCAUUAAAAUAGUGCAGAGGUGUGCAGGAUCCAUGCUUUUGUCAGAGAUGGCAGACAGCGAGGAGAGCCAAACGGGUUUGUGGGAUUUUGAAAAAAAGUCUCCAAAAUUAUGGGAUAAAGAUGGCAGUUUGGGAUGGAGACCGUUGCAAACUGGAAAGUUGACCCCAUGCUUCCAAUAACCCUGCCCAACUCAUUUCUGCCCCAUCAAACAUGGUCAAAACUUCCUAAAAGACAGUGCACCGGUUGGUGGCGAGUUGCACAGUGGGAUACUUAUCCAUGGUGCACCACAGUCUGCAUCGAUACAAGUGCUCCUGGUGAGUACGCGCUCUGCUGACACAACGAGCUCACACAAGCGAUGCACUAACUGCAGCAGCUGUAUGCUGAUGUAAGUCUGUAAUGUAGACAUGGCCAUAGUCAGUGCUUUGCUGUAUAUCUAAAUGAGAACGGUGUUAACCAGAAACCCCUUCAAAAAACAGUUUACAUGUGAUUAUCUGGAUUAGCAUUCUCUAUUGAGAGCCUGCAGGCACGGUAAAUAUUUUUUUUUAAAUGCAUGGAGCACUAAAAGGUGUUUUUAUAUGAUCUAAUCAGAAAUAGAUUAGAAAGCUUAAUGUCCUGAAGAAUCCAAAACUUAAAAGCAGGGAUUUGCAGACUGUAGCUGAGCCGUAGCUGUAUUUAUUUUGACGGUCUGCCUCCUCACUUUGGAUAUUUGAUCUCAAAUUUAAAACAGCAGCUAUAAAAAUUCAGGACACUCUUCUGCAGUUCACACUCUCAUAUAUUAGAAUUUAAUAUGUAGAAUAUUAGUCUCACAUGGGCAUCUUAUUCUUCUGCUGUGUUUGUUACUUGGCAUCCAGAAGGCCGUUAAUUCUGUCACUGUUCAUAUAAUUUUGGCUCUUAAAACUACAACUUUGAAUAGGGAAGACAAACCUUUUUGAAGUUAAGACAUGAGUAGUGUACACGAAGUAUGAAACGUGGACUGUGAAAAAUAGUUGGUGGAAACCUUUUUUAACACUAACUUCUAGAUAUGUAAUAAAAGCCUGGAGAUCACUGUCUGAAAUAAAGCUGUUUGAAUAUUCUUUAAUUAUACUAACCUUUGAAGAUAGCAUCUAAGAUACUAAUGCAGUGCAUGGGAUAGAGUAUCCCUUUUUGUAUUAUACUUGCAGCUUUUAAUUUUCAAAUAUUUUAGCAAAAGACUUGGGACCAGAAUUGAGUGUGUUUACAUUUGUAGAGCAUGGGCACAUCAAAAUAUUAAGCAAAAGUCAUCUUGGUUUUUAAACUCAGCUGGACUCUAGUAAACUUGGUAACAGAACAGUAUCUUUUAAAAAACGUUAAACCACAACACUAGUCUAGAUCCAUGUUAUAAAGGGAUACUCUGUUAGAUAUUUCAUUGUUUUGAUAUUAAACAGUGGAGCGUUAGGCCUUGUUAACACCGGGAGCAGAACCAUGCAAGCCACAGCUGACCUGGUUAUGCUCCCAGUAUAGGUUAAGGCCUUACAGUUUAAUAAGGUUUUAAACAGGUUUUGCUAUUUUUCAGCUACCAGCGUGUUUGAUCAUAUUGAUGAUUUGGGUGGUAACUUCAGGAAGUAAUCUACCUUGAGAUGAGAUCACUGUUGGCAUACUGUACUAGUUCUGUUCUGCUAUCUUAUGCCAGAGGUGAAUUUGGUCUAGGGAAUUUACACAAUUAGGAUAGUAGAUAAAUUCCAAUCACAGACAUUUUUAAGUCUUUCAUAGUCAAGUCAGGGAUUCAAGUUAACUGCACAAGUGGAGAAGAUGUGCCACAUCUGACUUGCUGGUAGCUGAAUUGAUGUCCAACAUGGUAGAGGCGGAGAAAGAAAACAAAUCUUAAAAGGGGGCAAAUAGCCUGUUUGCAAGUCUCUCUAGUUUAUUUUACUGCUUACUAUGCAAUGUAGAACUUUGAACUUUUGCAUUUACCUUGAUAGAAAACAGAGGGGUACUGUCGUCUAUUUAAUAUUUUGGAACUGAACACUCACUGUCUCUGAAACUCACUUCACAGGUAUAAGAUGCCUAUUUGCUGCUAUUGACUUUCUUUACCUUCCAGAUUCCUCCUUUUUCUUUCUUAGCCCCCUUUCGCUGAAUCACCAUACAAAGUUUUAUUACAAAUAUUUCAUUUAGACAGUUUUUUGUGCCACCCAACACUGGUGAUUUUUUUUUCUGGAGUGCUAUAUUACUGUAUGUAAAACAACAGUUUUCAGCUGGACUGUUAAAGGUGCAGCAUGAAUAUAGACCUGCCUGUUUCUUCCACCAGAAAAUUCCCACCAUUAUUUAGAGCCUUGUUUUCUUGAUUGGUAACUUCAUUUGAGUUUUCCAAACUGAAUCACUAGCACCUCUAGUGUUGAGGUUUUAAAACUGUGUAAAAGUUUUGAUGUUUUAUCUUUGUAGUAGAUAACUAACAUGGACAUUCAUAGUAUUACGCACAUUUUUUCUCCUUUUAAAAUAUAAUUUCCUCUUAACAACUGAAGACUGCAAAAUGACUAAAUUUCAAAAAGCUCAUUUUUGUUUUAAGAACUCUCCUUAAAUUGUUCUUCAUAGAUUACUGUAUUUUUAGGGGAAAUUAAUUUUUAUAGCCAUUAAACUGUACUCAUUAUUUUUGUACUUGUGCAACUAGGGACAUUUUGGGACACAAAUCUUGAAGGGAACACUUAAUUCUUUGCUGUUUUGAUUCUUCCUAUAUGCUGGAGUUGUACUGCUAAGUACUACUACUGGAAGCAAUAUCUUGAUGUGCAAUGGAGGUGAGAGAAGAAUGCAAAAAAGUGAAUGAGGUUUGAAUAAAAAUUAAUUGCUGGAGGCAAAAGGAUAUUGCAAAAGCGACACUGUAACCUUCAUAUUCACUUCUUUAUACAUCGUAAAGCAGCUGGAAGAAAAAAUAGGUGUAAAAUAUUAAAUGCAACAUGGGAAUCCGUACUGUAAGCUAACCGUGCCAAUAUUGCUUCAGUUUGUAGGCUUUAUUGAUUGGUAUUUUAGUUUUAGAUCAAAACAGCUUUUGAUUAGAAAGAAAAAGUUGAAUGUCUGAAAAUCUGCAACAUGUUUAUUUGAGAGAUGUAAAUAAUGUAUACAGAUUGCUGUAUGUGAUGGGAUGAAAAAAUAUUUAAAUUCUAGGUUUUUUCAGUAAGAAACUGAAUGCUGUUUAUAAGAAAAAUAAUAAAUAGCUAUGUUUGA
Chrysemys picta bellii (western painted turtle) is the source of this 3481-nucleotide long non-coding RNA. RefSeq lists it as uncharacterized. The record is from RefSeq and is a predicted model, not a curated record. Lineage: Eukaryota; Metazoa; Chordata; Testudines; Emydidae.